UUUUUUUUUUUUUUUUUUUUAAAUUGGGACAGGGUUUGAUUACCCCUGGCUGGCCUGGAACCCACUCUGUAGACCAGGUAGGACUUGUUCACAGAGACCCGCCUGCUUCUGUCUCCAAGGUGCUGGGAUCAGCUUUCCUUCAUUAUUCCUUACAGACAUCAGUUGAAGCACAGCUUCCCAAGCAUCUUCUGGGGUCUGGGGAAUCAGGUCGGAGGGGCUCCUACCUAAGUGUUACCUGACAGUUGUUAAUAGUGAGUGAGUGGGCUUCGACUGUUAACUGUCUGAGUGUGUCUGCUCAGGGCUUCGACUGUUAACUGUCUGAGUGUGUCUGCUCAGGGCUUCGACUGUUAACUGUCUGAGUGUGCCUGCUCAGGGCUUCGACUGUUAACUGGCUUUCAGUUCAAAACUCUUUGAACCCAGCUUUUUUCCUGUGUGUGUGUGUGUGUGUGUGUGUGUUUUUUUUUUUUCCCAGUUUUGUUUUGUUUUUAAAUCCCAUUUGUGGUCUUUCGAGGGAUUCAUGAAAAUUUUAAGAUGGAUUUUUCUUUCUUCCAAAAGCACUUGAGAUUCUGAUAGACACUGUCUUAUGUUUUUGACUCUGUGGUAAUACUGACUGCUUAAGUCUUGUGAUCCCUGGACACAGGGUAUCUAGAUGUUUGUGUCUUAAAUUUCUUUUAGCAACCUUGUCUGUCUGUCAGUUAAAAUUAAUGUGUAUAUAGUCUGAUUUUUUUUUUCUUUUUAUCAUUUUCUUUCUUAUUCUUUGCAUCUCUUCCUUCCUUCAUUCUUUAGAUUCAAGUGUUUUCAUUUGGUGUCAUUUCCCUUUUUGAGGAAUUUUAGGGCUUCACGGCUGUUCCUGAGAGUUAAAGAGCUGUGUCAGAGGAAGUGCCCAUCUCUGUUCACAGGGCAGGAAGUGACUGUCGGAUAAAGGGACUUGAAUGUGAAGUCUGUUCUUAGAAAAAUAUUUGAUAACUUUAGAGACAGUCAAAGUCAGUUUGGUCAUCCAUUAUGAAACUCAGGUUCGCAAGCAUCUUCUGCAUUUCUGGGAACCCAAAUCAGAGGCAAUUGUAGGUGCAAAAGUUUAUUCUCCUGUUAAACUUAGUAGACCUAAAAACAAUGUCUUUACUUCCUGUUGAUCUUACAAUUUAUGGGAUGAAAUAAACUGCAGCCACUAAAACAAAAAUGAAUGUACAUAGAGACACAUGGAAUAAGCAAUUUCUAAAGAGCAUGUCUUAAACAAUUUUCAUGUGUGUACAAAGGUACUUCGUGGUUAUUGCACCAAGUCAAUGGCAGUAGUUUUAUCUCCAGGAGGCAGUAUUUUGAUUGGUUCCUUAAAAAAAUAUUUAUGUAUGUGUUUAUAAUGCCCGUGUAUAUAUUUUAUCUGUUUGUAAUUGAGUUGUCUUUUUGUUAAGUAAGAUCUGCUGUGUGUGCUUGUCCUGUGCAGUGCAGGGUGAAGCAUUAGCACAGACACUCCUAGGGGGCUUUCAUGCUCACCAGGAGCAAACGAUGCUUUCUGCACACUUAAUAAUGCUUUCAGGGGCCGAGGUAGGCGGUUGGUUCACUCAGUUACUGCACAAGCGUGAGGUCUCCAGCGCCCGUGUGAAAGCCAGGUGCAGAGGUGCACUUCUGUAGCUGCAGCACAGGGGGGCAGAGACAGGAGGAUCAUGGGAGCACACGAGCCAGCCAACCUCACUGCACCCCAGGGAGGGUCAAAGAAGACACCUGCCAUUGACCUCUGGUCUCCACAUACGCACACACAUACUCAUAAUGCUUUUAGUGACCAGAAUGACUUAAUUGUAGUACAAUUUAUCACAUAUAUCUUAACAGUAAACAGUGUUUUCUAUUUAAGAAAACGUGCCCAUCCCAUGUUCAUAAGAAUGUGUUAAGGAUAAAUAUUAGUAGGUUUAUUACUUAUCAUUUAUAUUUAGAUCUCUAGUGUACACUAGAUGGUGUGGAAGGGCUAGGAGAAGGCUUGAGAUAUGUUAAAAAUAACAAGUUAUAUGGUGUUUUAACUAAAAAGACCAUUCUCUUCUUCCUGCACUGAAGGGUCACCAGUGUUUAAUCAGGUGACCUUACACUGGCAGGGUGUACUCGGACAAUAUGUAAGUAGUGAUUGUGAUGUGUUUGAUGUUUCUAGUUUUGGCAUAUGUCACUGAUGGAGGUUUUUGUUGUCUUUUCCAAUGCCUUUUAGUAGAAUCAAAGCAAGAUAAACAGUUUGCAAGCUUUGAAUUAUUUUAAUCCAUGAGCAGUGUUUUAUUAUUGGUGUUUUCAUGUUGCUUCUUUGCCAGCAGGAAGGCAGGAUUUCUUCGUGUUUUAUAAAAAGAAGAAACUUUACCCAAGAGAGGGUCUAGUAACUUGCCAGAGUCAAGCUUGUAACGUAAGAGCGUUGGGUUGAGCCUUCUGUGCUGCCGUUCCUCAUGAGCCGUUUUUGUUGCCAUUUCUAAAGAAACACUCUUCUCCCUGGCUUCGUUGAAUGAGUUAAAGUUUUAUUUUUAAAGGGUAGUCUUGAAGAGUAAUUGUACAUUUUAGCUUGUCUCUAGAAGAUACUGCAAAUGUAAAUAAAGAAAAUAUCC
This 2567-nucleotide long non-coding RNA is filed under the name Mus musculus (house mouse). Its description in RNAcentral is "long non-coding RNA chr11:32696994-32699561". The record is from RNAcentral. Lineage: Eukaryota; Metazoa; Chordata; Mammalia; Rodentia; Muridae.